AGGGAUGUAGCUCAGUGGUAGAGCACUUCCCUAGUAUUCACAAGGCCCUGGGUUCAAUUCCCAGCACCACCA
This 72-nucleotide transfer RNA is filed under the name Heterocephalus glaber (naked mole-rat). It matches the Rfam family "tRNA". From Rfam's summary of the family: Transfer RNA (tRNA) molecules are approximately 80 nucleotides in length. Their secondary structure includes four short double-helical elements and three loops (D, anti-codon, and T loops). Lineage: Eukaryota; Metazoa; Chordata; Mammalia; Rodentia; Bathyergidae. The record is from Rfam by way of RNAcentral.